This 307-nucleotide ribosomal RNA is filed under the name uncultured microorganism. Its description in RNAcentral is "bacterial SSU rRNA". It matches the Rfam family "Bacterial small subunit ribosomal RNA", at positions 346 to 649 of the family's 1533-position model. The record is from RNAcentral.
GCGCACCCGGCGAGAAUCUUCCGCAAUGGGCGAAAGCCUGACGGAGCGACGCCGCGUGACCGAAGACGCCCUUCGGGGUGUAAAGGUCUUUUCUAGGGGACCAAUAUCCCGAUUUAUCGGGAUGAGUGUACCCUAGGAAUAAGGGGCCGCCAAACUCGUGCCAGCAGCGGCGGUAAGACGAGUGCCCCAAGCGUUAUCCGGAAUUACUGGGCGUAAAAGCGUCUGUAGGGGGUUUGAUAAGUCUCCUGUCAAAUUCCGAUGCUCAACAUCGGAAACCGCAAGGAGAAAACUAUCAAAACUAGAGGGU